UUGGUUAGAAUUAAAGGUUUGGUUAGGAUUUGAUUUAGGAUUUAGGAUUCGGUUUAGGAUUUAGGGUUUAGAAUUUGGUUACAAUUUCAUUCAGGAUUUGGUUUAGGAUUUGAUUGAGAUUUAUGAUUUGAUUAGGAUUUGAUUUAAGAUUUGAUUAAGAUCUGAUUUAGGAUUUGAUUAGGAUUUGGUUUAGGAUUUAGGGUUUGAUUUAUGGUUUAGGAUUUGAUUUAGGAGUUGUUUAGGAUUUAGAGUUUUUUUAGGAUUGAUUUAGAAUUUAUUUAGAGUUUGGAUAGAAUUUGGUUAGGGUUUGGUUUAGGAUUUAGGGUUUGAUUUAGGGUUUGGUUAGGAUUUGGUUUAGAAUUUUGAGUUUGAUUUAGGAUUUUUUAGGAUUUGGAUAGAGUUUGAUUUAGGGUUUGGUAAGGAUUUGGUUUAGGAUUUGGUUUAAGAAUUAGGAUUUGAUUUAGGAUUUAGGAUUUUAUUAGGGUUUGUUUAGGGUUUAAGAUUUAAUUAGUUUUGGCCUAAAGUUUGAAUGAAGUCCAAUAGGAUUUUAACUAGAAUUAAAUCAAGAUUGAAUUGAGAUGUAUUUGAGAGAUAUUUGUCAUCAUUUCAAUAUUUUUUUAAGAUUUCUUAUUAUUUCUUUGAAUUUUUUUUGAAGUUUCUUUGAAUUUGAUUAAAGCUUUUUUAGCAUUAUCAUAAUAUAAUUAGAAUUUAUUUAUUAUUCUAUUAUAGUUAGGAUUUUUUUGUUGCAAUUUCUAUUCUACCUUCCAUAGUCCAGUGCCCGGAGCAUUUUCAAGCAAGACUUCACAUAUUAUAACACCGUGUAUACAAACCAUAAGAACCUCAAGUACUUCAUGUCAGCACGUGUCUUGAAUCGUCAUCAAGUCCAUUGGAGCAUGUCUUUAUUUAGAUUCAAUUUCAAGUUCAUUU
RNAcentral lists this long non-coding RNA (927 nucleotides) under Physcomitrium patens. Its description in RNAcentral is "long non-coding RNA (PPAT_LNC004364)". Lineage: Eukaryota; Viridiplantae; Streptophyta; Bryopsida; Funariales; Funariaceae. The record is from RNAcentral.